GGCGUCGGCGUCGCUUCCGCGCUGGGGCAGUAGGCCGGCUUCUGUCCGCGGGCCGCGGUUAAGUGUCGAUGGCGGAGGGCGCGUGAAGAGCCGCCAGCCGCGCGGCGUCGGCCGUGGCGUCGGGGUCGUUGUGUCGUGAGAACGACUCAGACCGCGACAGCAGGUGCGGCCGCUUUAGCCCCAGGCGGGCUCAGCGGCUGCCUGGCGAGUCUGUGCUCGCGCACAGCCCUUUCCCUCCUGGACCCAGCGCCAAGCAGCGACGCUGAGCCGACCGCCGGAGCGGCGGGCAAUGGCGGCCUCGACGGCCUCGCAUCGGCCCAUCAAGGGGAUCCUGAAGAACAAGAAUUCUACGACUUCCUCUGUGGUGGCCUCGGCCGAGCAGCGCGGCAGGAGUGUCGACGAAGAGCUGAGUAAAAAAUCCCAGAAGUGGGUUGAAAUGAACAUCCUGGCGACAUAUGUCCAGCAGACAAAGACUAUGGUUUAAUGAAAAUGGAUGAACCUACCACUCCUUACCAUAGUAUGGUAGGUGAUGAUGAAGAUGCAUUGAGUGAUUCAGAAACCACUGAAGCCCUGACCCCAGAUAUCUUAGCUAAGAAAUUAGCUGCUGCUGAAGGCUCAGAGCCAAAGUAUCGGGUUCUUGAACAAGCAAGCAGUGAAGACGAGGAUACUGACCUCUCACCUGAAGAACAAGAAAAAAAGCGACAGUUUGAAAUGAAAAGGAAGCUUCACUACAAUGAAGGACUGAAUAUUAAAUUAGCUAGACAAUUAAUUUCAAAAGACCUACAUGAUGAUGAGGAAGAUGAAGAAAUGUUAGAGACUGCAGCCAAAGAAAGCAUGAACAUGGAAGAGUCAGAUCAAGGAUCUACUACAAGUGACCAACUGCAAAACAAAUCACAGAGUUCAUAGAAAAGAUUUGUUCAACACUGUAAUUGUCAGACACAGACCCUGUUACUAUAAUACACUGCUUCUUGUUCUCAACAAUUCAUGACUUAAAUACCAGAAUGCAUACCAGUUAUUGUAUAUUGCCAAGAAUUAAAUGACUUUCGAGACUAA
RNA transcript from Odobenus rosmarus divergens (Pacific walrus), 1053 nucleotides. It is a transcript of the gene named protein phosphatase inhibitor 2-like, with no coding region annotated. The transcript has a single exon. The record is from RefSeq and is a predicted model, not a curated record. NCBI's taxonomy places the organism in Eukaryota, Metazoa, Chordata, Mammalia, Carnivora, Odobenidae.